CAUUUUCCCUUUUUCACUUUUUCUUUCUUUCUUUCUCUCUAUUCUCUCGGCAGUCCCUCGCUCAUCUUCUCCUCUAAAAAAACUCUCUUUUCUCUUCGAUGUCAACACUUUAGAGCGUGAUUCCGGAUGAAAUUUAAGAAUUAAAGUUGCUAUUCGGAGCAUGGGCUUUCCGAAUAUCCAAGAAAAAUCAUGAUCGGACCUUGUGGGAGCUCGGUUGACUUGGUCAAAGGGUCGGGUUUUGCUCAAAACCCAUGAGGCAUGAUUCAAGGAUGUUGGCAUGGAGUGCUUGUUGUGCAUUUGUGACCAAACCUUUAAAAGGUAUUCAAGAAGGAUUCAUAGCACAAGAUCCGAAAGAGCAUUUUUAGGAAAGAUAUUAUUUGUAAAAUGUAAUAAUAUUUCCGUAUGAUACUGGUAUUUUGAUGACUUGUGGCCUUCGAGUUGGAAAUGUAAUAUUUGAAUUUUAUUUGAGAACAGUGAACAAAAAGGUCUUUUGGGGUAUUAUUUAUAUUACAGCGAAGACUUUAUUUAUUAAAAGUGUUUAUUAUUUAUGUUGAAAAUCGAGAGCGUGACAAAAUAUGGUAUGCAUUUGUCUUUGAUCCAAUACAGUGAGACAAAUAUCAUAGAAUACAUUUGAUCACUUAUAAUUACUGUUCCUACACAAGUUUUCAAUUGGGUGAUCAAGAAGGUUUUUACCUUUCAUGUGUUUGGUGAGCCACAUAAAUAAAUUCUAACACAUUUUUGUUUGGAUCCUUGAUUUGCUACAAACUCAUGUUUUGAGAUUUUAGUUUGUAGAUAUAUAUACUAAAUAUUUGACUAUAUGUGUAUGCCACUUCAACGAAAUGGGGAUUUAGGGGCAAUUUUGAAAGGGUAUUUUUCCAAAAAUGUCUUAUCAAGUUAUUAAUGCAGCAGCACCUUCUAAAGUGCCCCAUUUGAUUCUCCUAAUUGAGGCAGUCAGCAUUGACCCCAAAUUUAGCAUAUUUAGUUUGUUUGUUUUUUGUAAUUUGAUAGAGCAAUUUAAAGUGCAUCGAAAAGUUAGGUUUAAUAGAGCACUUGCUUGGAGAUAUAUAACUACGACGUUUUUGUAAUCGACCUUUUUUUUUUUGAAAAUCGGCUAGAGAAUUUUGGACACUUUUUAAAGGGCAUUUUUACAAAAAUGCCUCUUCAAGUAGUUAAUAAGACACUUUUAAGUGUCGCAAAACAAUUUCAUAGUCAAUUUUUCAUAAUUUUUAGAGGAAGCAAAUCCUUGCUAAACUUAACUGAUUUUGUCGGCAAAAACAAAAAAUUCCCUCGAGCAAACACUGGAUCGAUCCUGCUCGUUUUCAUCUUCUUUUUCGAUCCCACCCUAUAGUAAUUAGAUGCCAACAAAAACAUUUGCAUAAGGAUAUAUGUUCUACACUCGAAUACUGCACCGCAUAGUUCGACACGUCCUGCUCUUUACUCAAUUUUCCGAAUCAUUCAUCUUGUAGAAUUCAACAAAUUAAAUCACCACGCAAAAGUUCAAAUCGAUCGGACACAUGCGACUACCUCAUUAAAAAACUUUUAUAUAGAAAAAAAAAGAUGAGUCUAGUUAUUUUUUGCGUGAAUAAAGUAGCUCAGUUAGUGAGGAUCAUCAGCCCCCUUAACGUAUGCGAGAGUUCGAGUCCCGGCGGGUGCUCGAACCUUGUUUGUGGACCAAAGGGAGAGAUCUUUCACCAAUUGUACAUUAGGUGGUGCCGUGGUGACGGUGAGGAUGGUAGCUAUGGCUCGAACCGGACAUUCCAUUGGCAGGUAGGGAGCCCUUAUGGUUACGCCCAAUGGGGGUUGCUACGUUGGUUGCUCCCUCUCACCCUUUUUGGAUUAUCAAAAAAAAAACUAUUCCGACAAGGCGGUUAUGGGUGUUCGAUAAACUUGAUUCUCAGAAUGAAUGAUCUACUGAUUCUACUCUAUCAUAUUUAAAAGAUAGACGGUUCCGAUCGCGAAGAAAUACCUCGGGUAGUGUUUGAGUGGUGCAUUAUUAGACUUUAUUUCCUCCAAACGUAUUAAAUGUGUUGCGACCAAGUGGCUUUCGAUAUUCGAUGAUCUCCGAUUUGUGUGACACUGAUGGAAUUGGUAAGAUGUGAAAUCCUAAUGGUUCAGAUCAAUCGUUAUAAUAAUAGACUCCUCAAUAACCUUUAGAAUAUAUAUAUAUGUUCAACUUACUUAGUAAUUAAUAGUUUUGUGCUAUAGUUGAAUGUAUGGUAGCCACACAAUCAGGACAUAAUGAUGAUGAUCAAGACCAUUGAUUUUAUUGUGCUUGUUGAUCACAUCAUUCACGUAAAAUUUUAGCUCUAUCCGGUUUAGAAAACCCUACUUUAUAAUAAACUAAAUCUUGUGUUGUAAUUAAAUGUACAGUAGCUACACGAGUGCGACACAAUCAUGACGAUCAAGACCAUUGAUUUUGUUCUACUUAUUCAUUAGAUCAUUCACGUGAAUUUUUUGCUCGAUCGGGUUAAGAAAUUAAGCCACUUCAUUUUGACGCAAAUUCAUUAACAAAAUGGUAUUUUCCUCACAAUAGGCUGUUUGUGUUGUAGUGUAAUUAUUUUUCUUCAAGCGCCAAGAGUAGUGAAAAUUUUGAACACGUAAAAUUGUACGCGCUAUCAUUCCCCCCCUCACAACUUUUCCAAUUUUUUCCUUGAACUUCCAUUCCGUUCUCGCCCUAGCAAACCAUCUCCAAUUAUUUUUGAAGCAGCCAUUCUUUCCCUAAAUUCCUCCUCCCAUCUCUCGCCUCUUCACCACCAAAGCCUUUUUCAACCAUGGCCUCUACCGCUUCUAUCUCGGCCCAGCCCGCACCGUGGCCUAUCCCUCCGUAUCCUACAGUAAAUUUAUCUCUCUCUCUUUCUCUCUCUCUCUCUCUCUCUCAUACACACAAGCACUGACUACCGAGAACGGUGCCAUCAAAACUCGUCGGUGCUGCUCUCUAUCUCUGUCUCUGUCUGUGCUGAACCCUAACCAAAUUGGUCUUCACUGAGGAUAUUUGUACCAGUUUCAAGAAUCUUUAUUCUCGUUAUUGGAGGAAUUGCAUCUGUUUACUUGCUAAUUAUCAUCCCUUCGCUGGAGAUUGUUGUCCUUUAAAUUGUGGUUCUCGUCCUACGCCGAUCAAAAGACUUCAUUGGAAAGACCUCGCCACUCUUGUCUUCUUUUGUUGGGUCAUGGCCCCAACAACUCGUAAUACUGGACGAGUCCAUGUGCAGUCUAAUUCCUAUCAGCCACACCAAGUAACUAUGGAUGAUGUGGCCAUCAUUCAGCCCCUUAACUAACCAGGUACAUGAUAAAUUCACAAGUGCAUUUCUUUUGGUAUUUUGUUGUAUGAUUUUGCUUUUGCUCUUGCUAAGCUAUAAAACUUAUUUGUAUUGUGCCUUGGUUGUUGAUUGAGUGUGCUUUGCCGAUAUCUAAUGGUCCUUGUUUAUCUUUAAUAAGGACCAUAUGUUUGCAUUGGUAAUGGUAAGUUUGAUAAUUAUAAGGUCAUUUACUCAGAAGCAUAUGGUAAGAGAUGUCUUUAUAAGUGAUAUGCCAUCACCCACAGUCCCACACUUUGAAUUUAGAGUGCAUUACAUCCUGAAAAUUUUGGGCUUGUAAGCUUGCUAAAUACAACAUGAUCUUGAAAAUAUUGUGGAUUUGAAUCAAAAAUUUAAUUUAUCUCCUUGUCACAAGAGGUUAAGGAUACUAAUUAUGCCCAAGGAUACUAGUUUAUUGGUUCUCCCUUAGCACUACUAUUUCUAGUGUAGGCUGUGAAUUAUGGGUUUAUUGUUGACUCUCUUAUGGACACUAAUGCUAUGUUUUUUAGAGCUGCUAUUUGUUCUUAGGAGUUCUCAUGCUGUUUUAUGCCUACGGUUUGUGGGCUCUUGGUUAUGGCUUUAUGAAUUAGGCUAUUGUCUUAUGGACUUAGCUGCUUUUAUUUGAGAUUAUAUGUGGAUGUUUGGCUAUUGCUAUCAAUUUUUGGUUCCUUGUGCUAAUUACUGGCCAUUGAUCUUGGUUGCUUUAUGGACAAUUUCAAUGCUGGCAUAGUUUCUUUUGGGAGGUUCUUCAAGUUAUCUUCUUAUGGCUAUCAAUAUUUAGCUGGCACAUGCAACUUGAUAUUGCAUUCUAAUAAACUAAUAGUGUCAAUUCCAUAUGAAUACGCUAGCUAAAAUGGAUAGUGCCGUAGGCAUGGAUAAUUUGCUAGUAUGAAUUUGAUAUUGUAGAAUUUCAAUAUGAUUUUUUCUGGGAUUAUGUAUAUUUCAAGAGCGUAACUACAAAGGUUGGUGGAGAAGAACUUGGAGCAAAUUGGUGUGAGAUUCAUGUUCAAGUCCCAAUCCUGUGAGCAUACAGAGGCGUUAAGACCAUUGGCGAUGUCAUCGGUACUCCAAUAGCAUGACCUAUUUCUUUGGUAGUGAAAGAUGAUGAUGGAUGCUUUAUUGACUGAAUGCGAUCACUUGGAAGAUGCCUAGUAGAUAGAGUUAUGUCAUAUGGAUAUUGAACUUAUGGGUUUUGUUUUGUUUUUAUUGGUGGUUGUUUUUUGAUAUCAUGGCAUCUCUCAUGGUUUAGUUCUAGUUUUUUUACUGGAAACUUUAGUAAGUUUCUUAAAAUUGUUUCUAUUUCAUGUUUUUUUUUUUUUUUGUAUUCGGAUCCUUGUAAGUUUGUUGACUAGUAGUUUGAGUUAAUGACUAUGGCUUAUGUUGCAUGGAUAUGGUUGUGGAAAUAAUUGAAAUUUAUUAAGGUUUUAUUG
Long non-coding RNA from Rhododendron vialii, 4723 nucleotides. RefSeq lists it as uncharacterized. The record is from RefSeq and is a predicted model, not a curated record. Lineage: Eukaryota; Viridiplantae; Streptophyta; Magnoliopsida; Ericales; Ericaceae. The transcript is spliced from 4 exons.